Numida meleagris (helmeted guineafowl) is the source of this 3851-nucleotide long non-coding RNA. RefSeq lists it as uncharacterized. Lineage: Eukaryota; Metazoa; Chordata; Aves; Galliformes; Numididae. The transcript is spliced from 3 exons. The record is from RefSeq and is a predicted model, not a curated record.
GCCCCUGCCCACAUUACACUACAAGUGUGCCUGCCUAUAGCUCCAGCUGUGUUGCAGUAAUGCCUGGCAAUAGGCCCUUUUCACCUGGCUGGAUCUUAACUUUGUGGACUCUGUUCCUAGCUUGGUGUUGGAUCUGCCUUGUUGCUAUGAAGUUGCCUUGUGAUUGUGUCUGACUCUGUCAGUGCUGACCCUCCCUUGCAGGCUUGUGUUUCUGGCUUCAUCUGGGACCAACCCUGUUACCAUACACUUGACUUGCAUCUGUGCCCCACCGCUCCCUUGCAAAUUGGAGGUUACGUUGUAAGAGCUAAAACCACGGGCAGAUUGGGACUCAGAAUAUCCAAGGCUGCAGUUUGACUUAAAAGGAUAGAGGUGCUUCCACUUCCUGGCCUUCCCUCCGUUGCUCUUGUGAGGAAUUGAACCAACCCAGAUGGAACCAAGCAUCAUGAUUUUGACUGGCAUGUACUCAUGAAAUGAAAUUUGCCCUUUCUUGCAGAUCCAAAGAGUCCCGGCUAAAAUCAGUUGAGGAUGAUUUCUUUUGCUGAGUAGAAAUGAAACAGUACAUUAUCUUGUACUCUAAUUUAUAUGUUCCUAGAACAAGUGGUCUUCCAUGACUGAAGAAAAAUAACUCAAUUGCUUCUGAAUUGUCAACUACAUCUUGAACAUCCCUACGCAGUGUGCCCUGUGCUGAUGGCCGUCAUGUAUUUCCUUCCUGUUAGAUGUGACUACAUUUCAUGAGUGAUGGCAAAGAUUAUGUCUGAAAGAUGGAGAGAUUUUGGCAAAUCUGAUGUCCUUUUGAAGCCACUACCCUACAAGGCACACAUGGUAUGAGUUGGCUGACAGUAUUCUGGCAGACUCUGUAGACAGCUAUUGAAGUCAACUUUUGGCAAGGAUUUAGGGAUUUGAGUUGUUACCACAUGUUUUUUAUAGGUACUGUGGUUUAUUUUGACAUGCAAGGGGUGACAUAACACUGAUUUUAAAAAAGCUUAGGUUGUUACCACUUUACUUUUAAGAGCAUAGACAUCAAAGGGUGGCAAAUAUGUUACUGCAGUUAAGUGAGUUACUGCUUGUCACUGCAAAUCAGCUGAGGAGUGUUAGCUUGUUAAGCUUUGAUAACCCGAAUUCUUCUAAUCUUUUUUUUUUUUUUUUAAAUGUUAUUACAUUUAUUAAGCAUAAUAUUACAAAAUUAUCUUGUCAUUGAUAACUCUGAAUGUACCUAGAGUGGAUCAGCUAUCCUGUGAUACUAAGUGCAAGUAGCAUACCUGUAUUCUGCCCUAACCCAAGCUCAUUUUCUUUUUCAAAUUUGAACAAUGAUGACUGUACUUUUGUAUUUGAUGUCCUAUUAAUUUACUGUAUCUCAGCAAAGAAAUGAAUUAGAGAAUUCCUUGUUCAGCGUACAAUCCAUAAUAUGCCAAUGUGAGGUCUUCAAGAAAUACUUUUUAACCGUAAGCUAAGCCUUGCAUUUGUAUUUCACAGAACUGGGUCAUAAACAUGAAUUUAUUUUCAUCACAUAUGAUGAUGUUAAUCUCUUUGUUUCUUCUUCUCCAGACUGCACAUAUACACAUGUACGUACAUGCGCAUGCGCGUGCAUACACACACAGUUGUCACAAAUCAGUACAGCUGGUAAUUUUCAGUUCACCAGAAGCUCAGAAUAGCAGAGAAAUUGUUCAGUCAGGCUUGAUGUGGAGAACAAGUGUUUGCACACACUCCUCACUCUCUUUCUUGGGGGAAACUAUCAAAAGAGGUUUGAAAAAGGAAUGUCAAAGGGAAGAGAGCCAACACAUUUAUGUGUUCUUUUUAAUAUACAUAUUUCUGAUAUACAGGUGCAGGUCUGCCAAGGUGUAGCUGAGAUGAGAAGCAGGUGUUUAGAUACUGUACUGCUUUAACUGGAAAUGUGGGCAGGAGCAGAGCAGGUAGCAUCUCAUCCAUGGGAAUAUUAUGCUCAGUGGAUCAUGUCAACGGAAAAGGCUUGAGAGAUCAUCCCCGACAAAUAACUUUUUUUCUCUCUUUCCUGCCCUGAAAGGCUUGAAAACUUAACAUCUCCACACUCUUCUGAAGAGGCAGAGAAACACGACCAGAACAGUGUUUGUUCACUCAGGAAAUGGAGCAAAACAUGCCAGGGAUAAAAUAGCUGGCUCUCUUCCACUCUUCCAUCCAAGUACCAGACAAAAAGUCUCUUAGGGGCUAUAUAUUCAGAUCCAGAAAAGCUAACUUAUUCCAAGAGUGACCAGUAGAUUCAUCUGUACUAAUAAAAUAAGUCAGAGUUGCACGGACACUGAAAAAAAAAAAUGGUUCUAUUUCUUUUUUCUUUCUCUUAGUACCAAAAUAUUUAUUCAGAUUUACAUAUUUGUCACCAGUGAAGACAGAAGGAACUAACUGAGCUUACUUACUACACAGAAAGCAACUCUUGUUUUCUACAGUAAAAUAAGAUUCUUUUUAAAAAUGUAAAAUCCAGAUAACAAACUCCACUUGUCAAUAUGCCAAUGUUUAAAAAAAUUCCUCUCUCCUUGCUAUAUUAACUAAGCAAGGAGAGUGAGUAGUUCAAUAACUGAUCUUUUAUGACAUGGGAGAAAAAAAAUCAUCCAUUUUGGCUAUAACAUUAACAUCAGGAUUUACAAGUUAAAUGUAUUUGUCUACAUGAAACAAAUCUGAAAUUUCAUGUUUAGUGACAUCUAGUACAUGCACAUCUGGAAGUGCACUGAAAUCCAUCCUUCUUAGUCACUGGUAAUAUCACAGAAAGAAAGCCUAAAUGAAACAUGAAAUAUGAAAGGAUUUAGCACAUUACAAAUACAGAUAAGUAUACUUUUAAUUUAGAUGCAUUGAAGAGGCAUGGGAACCAGUUAAGAUUCUUUGAAAAUGCCAAACCAAUUGUUUAGCUGCUACACAGAGCUGUAGGCAAGUAUCCUAGUAAAUUGCUCACAAUAUAUGAGCUUUCAUUUGUAUUACCCAGUGAAGACACACUAAAUCUGAAACUGUCUCAAAUUUGUUUGCAAUAUGAUCCAAUUAAUUCACAUCUGAUAUUGAAUAUGCAGCUGUACUGUAUUCUGUUGCUAAUAACUUUUGUCACUGAGCCUUUUUUCCUUGUGAUGUUAGUAUUCAUGGCCUGGGAAAUCUUGAUGGAAUUAGAAAGGAGCAACAAGAUGGGAGAGGUCCAGCCACACCCAUGUGACUCCCCCAUGUUAACCUUAUAUGCUCUCUGGUGGUUUUGUCAUGUUGAAUCCUUCUGAAGCCUCCAUUUACCAGGAUAUACAAUUUCAUACUUCCUCAUCUUAUAUUUCAUUGUAACAGACAGUAGAAAGUAAAAAAAAAAACAGUGUUACCUUUCACACCCCGAAGGCAGGGAGACUGUCUACUCAAAGUUUCAAGCUGGAAAUUCGUUUUUGCUUUGGACAAUGCAAAAAUGUACCAUACAAAUAGCACAGUACUGUGACUGCAGGAAUGACUUUACAGCUUGUUUCCCUUUACUGUGAUUUGGGUGUGUUCUUAGAUCUUCCAAAACCUUUCUAGAGAUUGGCACUGGCAUUGUUUCUCUGCAGUACACACACAGGCCAAUUCAAGCAGAAGACAAUUUUGGCUGAGCAAAUUACACAGCGUGAAGUCUUAUUCCAUUAAGUAUUGUGAUUCCAGCAGAAUGUGGUUUGUCUAAACUAACUAAUCUAUACUGAGGAUAGCAAGGUUGGUUCGAUUAUUCAUUGGCACAAAAUUAACUCCUAUUCUUUGAUACUCAAUCAACUGCAACACAUAAAUAAAUAUUGUUCAUGAUAUGUUGAACUGUUCAUUUAUUAUACGGGCUGCUGCUUGAUGAGUAGGUGAUGUGAAGCUGUGGGAACUGCCCCUGAAACAUUUUGCUUUGA